CGUGGCAACAACGGUAACACCAGUGCUUGCUCCGUGGAGGCAGCAGGAUCAGCGCUCAAGACAUAGUGCAUCCAAGGUCCACCUGAGCUAGUGGGACCUUAUCUCAGUUCUUCAUCUGGAGAAACUGCUCUUUUUUAUUUUCUGCCACUGAAGAAAGCAACUGCUGCAGGCGAGGAGUUGGGAGCAGCAGCGGGAACUCUUACCUUCUGGCCGUUCUUUCUCUUGACUACUCGGGAGCUUCCCCUUGCUCACGUGGUCCCAGCCUCGCGUCUGAACCUUCGGCACAAUGUCUAUUGGCAGGUCAAUCGUCCUUAGUCAAGAGGUCCCCUCUCAGUCACUGGCUCACUAGGCCAGGCUUUAGGACCGCUCUGUGUGAGUCUCAGCUCUCAUGUGACUCACAAGUACUCGGUGAGCAAGGGCCACUGACUUGGGUUGUUAUCAGUUACUCCAACUUUGCAUAAAUAAGGCUUCCAGGGUUAGCCAAACAGCCGAAGCAGUGGCUGUCACCCUUCCUAACUCCGCAACCCCUUAAUGCCGCUCCUCGUGCUGUGGUGACCCCAACCAUACAAUUGCUUCCAUCUCUACUUCACGGCUGUAAUUUUGCUCCUGGCAGCUUUCGGUGCUCCCGAACACCUCACACGGGCGGCUGCUGUCAGUCUUGACAUGGCUUUCCUUACUCAGCCCAUAUCGCUUUGUUUCAACUGUCUUGCAUCCCUUGAGAACCCGUGCGGGCCCUUAUUUCCAACUCUUUGGACCAGAGGUUAAGAACCUAGAGACAUAUGCCCCAGAUGCCAACGGCUGGAAACACUUGUGUUGCUGCAUCAGUCUGGUAGGGCAGUGAGCCGGCCGCCGAGGCCUCCCUGUGAGGAACGCAAUGCGGAGGAAAAAAGGAUAUGUAUUUGGAUUAUCUGCCGGACAAUGUGAAACCACCCUGAACACGUUCCUGUUUUGAAGUCCUACAUCAGAUCCAAAGGUCCGCAAAGGGUCACCGGGGGCACACUCGAAGUGACCCCCUCGGGGCGUGUCCAGAGAUCACUAGAAAAUGAAAAGUGACCUUGGCUGUAGCUAUUGCUUUACUUGAGCAGUUUAAGGAACACAUCUGGGGUCCAUCACAGCUUCAGCCAAAUCCUGCCUACGGGUUUUCAUAACUGACUCCGAAUGAAUCGUGUGUCCGUAUGUCAGGGCGGGGCCCUCAUCUCUGUCUUUGUCGCUGACGAGGGAGACGGCUGUAGGGGGCAUCCUCUCUCUUAUGUCUUGCCAGGACGUGCAAAGAUUCAUCGCUGGUCUAGAACAGCCAGUUGUUUACACUGAUAAUUCCUUGAAGGCUCUUGAAGUGCUACAUUUCAUUGUGUCCCAGGACUUGCUUCCUCCGUUCUUAAUUAGGGGGAUUACUGCUUGGAGAAAAACGAGUGUUUUUAUUUGCAAGAGGAAUUAUAAUAAAUCUUACAAAUUUAAACCAGGAAUCAAAGCCCCACAGAGUCUGGAGGAAAUCAAAGGACUGUAAAAUCUCACUCAUUCCUUUUCCCCUGGGCAGCCUGACUCUUCUAAUGUCAGCCAGCCUCCGUCUGUCUGUCUGCACUCUCGCCGUGAUGGGCCGAGCUCUGCAGACAUGCGAGAUGAAACAUCACACUGUACAUUGCUAAUGAGGCAUGCAGCAUGCCAGCGCUUACAAAUAUUUAAUGUGCUGCAGGGGAGAAGGUCUUUAUUAGACACCUUGGAGUUCAUCAGCUUCCAGGAUUAAACAUCCUAGAAACUUGUAUCCAAUCGAAGAAUUAAUUUUUCAGAACUCCCAAUUAAAGGGUGACAAGGAACUUGCGGAAUUCAAUAUGAUGGGAACUGGAGGGCUUCCUGGAAAUGAGGACUGAUUUCUGGUUGCAAAGAGCCAGUUUCCUAUCGUGUCUGUGACCAGAUAGUCAGUUUUUGAGAAAAGAGCAUGGUCUAAGAAUGUGUACCAAAUGACUGACGCCAUUGGAGGAAACAAACCGUGUGCCUACCGUGGUCUCCAUCAGCAGAGCUGAGCACGUGACAAACAACCUUGCUCCGCCUACGUGGUCACUCUGUGUUCAGUUCACGAUGCUCCAGAACGUGUUACGUUUUCCUCCCAGGACUCUGGCCAUACCUGUGGUCAUGGGAUACACUGGAAGAACCCCUUCCCUAGAACUGCGUGUGCUCAACGAAGUCUUUCUUCAGGGAUGUUUGGCAAAUAACCAAUUAGUCGGCAAUGACCAUGAAGUUAGAGAGAGAAGAAGAUGUUUCCUAGGUUUUAACUUACAUUGUCUCUCAGGAAGUAAAAUAAAUGGAGUAUGGACAUACUGUUGAAGCCGGCGGCAGCUGUGACCACAGGACUCAGCGGCAAAUGUUGAAGACCCUUGCAAGUGGUGCGAUUUAUCCGUCGCACAUUGAUGGAGCGCUCCGUCCUUCAGCCUACCGUGGUAGAGUAUGUCAGAGAGUAAUGCAAGGGGAUGAUUCUUUCAGACUCUUCUUAGGGCAGAGUACAGUCAUAUAAUCUGGUACUUAGAAGAGACACUCUGGACAAUUUAUGUGCCCAAGAAUCAGAACUGGCUUAUUCAUGGCUUCUCAGGGAAGCCAUGCAUUUAAAGAGACAAUUACUGCAACGGGUGAUAAAACACUGCUGCCAGCAGAAAAUGUUAUUUUAGAAAAGAUUUCAAAAGAAUUCCUUACCCACGCCCUGGGUGACAACAUGUUUAAGACGGCAAAACCACACAUGCUCUCCCCUUAUCUUCAGGGUUGUGUCCUGUCUACAGAAACGUCUGCGAACAGCAACGCCUUCCUUGGAGUCGAUAGAGUUGAUCUUCCCCUGGUUGGUAAAAAGCACGAAUCCAUUGUGGCAAAAGCUGACAGAAUGCAGUCUUGCCGUCAGCCCUGUCUCCAGAGACCAGCGUGAACAUACAAGAUGGCUUUUUUAUGUGUGACUUUAGGACCUACAGUGGUGACUCAGAGGCCAGGGGAGAGCAGGCUCUGGGAGCGACUCCCUUCGAAGUCUGAAUGGGAGGAGGAUGAAUGGCUGGUGAAGUCACACUGCAGAUGACAAUUUCCCGUGGGUGGGUUAUAAAAAGCGCGCUGGCAAAUUCUGUGCAAGGUGUGCUGGAGACGAGACGCCGGAAGGCAAUGUGCCUGCUUCCAAAGCCAUCCAUCAGGGAAAAGUACCUCCCAACGGAGGACACUAUGUCUAGGGCAAGUUGGAGUGCGCAUUAAAUGUGCCUUCCUGGUGAUCAGCGAACGGUUUAUGCAUAUGAAAUAUGUAAAUGUCAGUCACAGGUGCUUAAUGAGGUCAAGUUUGGUGGCCAGAUUCCUUCGAGCCUCGAGGUCUGGGUAUGGAUCCUUCUGGAAGUCUUGUCCCAGUUGCCAUGGCUGUCCCCAUCUGUCCCCCUCCUCAAGGAGAUCCGGGGUCUCAGGGGACAGAGCUGCUCCCAUCUUCUCCGUCGUUCUCUGAGGACCGAGGGUUUUGGAGGAUGUCCUGGAACUAGCUCUCAUAAUCCACGCUGGUCUCAAACUCGCCUGUUGGCCGUUUCUUUGCCGCGCAGUCGUUCAUGUUUGUUUACUGUGAGACUUUUCCAUCACCUCUCAAAUCCUUUGACGGGUGACGUGUGCUUUGCUGUGGAUGCUUUGUGCCUUCUGAAUGAAUAGAUUUGGGAGCCUGGGAGUCAUUGUAGGCAUUUCUUCAAGGGCCCCCAAAGCUAAAAUUUCAAAUCGUCUUAUUUUAUACCUUAUAAGAGCUUUACGGUCCUGGAUGUUUUUGAACCAUAUGCCCUCUUUUCUAUUUCUUUGCCUGUUAGAGCUUUCCAUACCCAUUUUAAUGAGGGGAGGGUAGCUGGUUAUGGUUUGGAUGGGACAUAUCGUCCCCAAAGGUUCAGGUGUUGGACACUUGGUCUCCAGUUGGCAGCACUGUUUUGAUGUGUUCUGGAAACUUUAGGAAGCAUGACCUAACUAGAGAAAGUAUGUUGAAGGAAGUUUCUGUCCCACCCGGUCCCGAAGCAGCUUAAUCCCAAAUAAACACACAGAGGCUUUUAUUAAUUAUAAA
RNA transcript from Mesocricetus auratus (golden hamster), 4042 nucleotides. RefSeq lists it as uncharacterized. The transcript has 5 exons. The record is from RefSeq and is a predicted model, not a curated record. Lineage: Eukaryota; Metazoa; Chordata; Mammalia; Rodentia; Cricetidae.